Ictidomys tridecemlineatus (thirteen-lined ground squirrel) is the source of this 9843-nucleotide non-coding RNA. The record is from RefSeq and is a predicted model, not a curated record. NCBI's taxonomy places the organism in Eukaryota, Metazoa, Chordata, Mammalia, Rodentia, Sciuridae.
UCCCCCUGCCUGCCCCGGGCCCUCCUGUCCAGUGCCCCCUGGUCUGUGAGCACAACCAGGAGGCUGGGCCAGAGCCUGCCCACAUGGUAGUGGAAUCGCUGUGGUUCCCUGCUCCCUUGGGCCCCACCGAACGCGCAGUCCACGGCCUGCAGGCUCGGCCCUCCACACCUGGGUGCCCAAGGUGUCCUGAAACGGGCCAGCUUCCUUGGGCCCACGGGAGUCCUAGCAGGAGAAGACGAGGCCUCUGAGAAGCUGACCACUGCUAGCUGGACAUCUGAGUGCCAAGAGCCCCAGGACAGUGGCCUUCCCCAGGAGUGGGUUUUGGAUGCCACCGGCCACGCAUCAGCGGUUGCUCUGUGACCCCACCAUGAGGGCAAUAUAGAUCUUGGGGCAACCCUGAGCAGCGCAGAGCCACUUUCCCCCCGAGAACUAGCCCCACCUGCCAGCUGUCCAGGCGGCCAUUCUCCACACUGAGCAGGAGAGGCCACAAGGUUUGCUUGGUCACCAUGGGGACAGGGUUCCCACCUACCCGGCAGCCGGGCCUUCGAGUGUGUGACAGCUGUCCUCUGGUCCUCUCCCAGGCUCCCCUCCAGCAGGUGGCAUGAGGCUCAUGUCCACGGUGGCUCUCGUGGAGCUCAUGAGGCCAAGGUCACAGACACGGCCUGUAGGGCUAGGUGGCCCCUGCCCUGUGUUCCAUACCCGGGCAGCUCUGGGUGCUAGGUCCAGGUCUCCCUGCCCCUCCCUCUGGCCUAGUGGGAGCCACGUCCAAAGACCUCACUACACUCUCCAGGCCUAGUGGUCAUCCCAGCCAGAAGACAGCCUUGCAGAAUGACGGAAGUGCAGUGUGCUGCCCAAGGGCGCCCCUUGAGCAAACUCCACCUGCAGGCCGGGGCUUGGGUGGUCCCUUCCGCCAGCUCAGGAGCUGGGCUCCAGGCCUCCUCCUCAUCUGUAAUUCCCAAUGCCUGUCACUCAUGCACCUGAGUGGGUCUGAGCAGGAGGCAGCCGGGGUGGCCAGCCCUGUGUGUGCAUAGUGGGGGGCAUCUCUGGGCAGAGAGGGCCAAGACCAGACUCAGGCCACACCCAUGGACCCAGCACGUUCCUGGACCCAUUAUCAGGGCCAAAUGCUUCCCAGGAUCGCAGGCUUCUGGGCCCAGCCUCCUGAAUAAAGGCUGCCCACCCAGGUGGGGAGAAGGCCCCUCGGUGACUUUAAUUCCACAUGUGCUGCCGGCGCCUCGUGGAGGCGGACUAGAGUUGCAUGCAUUUCAGGUGGUUUAACGAGGUGCCUCCAGCCCUGGGACCCUGCUCGCUGUGAGCUAGCGAGGUGGGGGUGCCCAGGCCUGCCCGCACCUUCCUCCUGGCCUGGGUGUCCCCGAGGUCAGGAGGCAGACAGGGCUUGGCAGCCGGCGACACCUAAUGGGGUGGAGGAGGCAGGCGGUGCUGAGAAGAGGCCCAUAGGCCAGCCUGCUGACCCCGCCCCAAACUGGGCCCCCAGAGAUCCCAAACAAGCAACCGCAGAGGGCUGCCCGGCCCAGCACACCAAACCAAGCCAUGGCCUCAGAGGGCAGGCCUCAGCAGGCUCCACGAGGGGGCACACAGGCACAGGCGCACCAGCCUCACUACGGCCGUAUGAGGGGUGAAGGGCACCCUCUGCGGAGUUGCCCAUGUCACAAAGCCCAGCAGGCACUGUGGGUGGUGGCAGGGGAUUGGCAUCAGCACUGGAUGGGGCAGAGACCCAGGGCCUUCUGUGCUGCAUGGUUUAGGGCACAGCCACCUCGCCACGUCCCCCGUGUCACCUUUCUCCUCGUUGUCCAGGACAGCAUUGCUCAACAGCAGAACAGUCAGCUAGCUCCCCCCCCCCAUAUUCUAACAAUGUAUUUAUGAUGGCAUUGGGUUUUGAUCAGAGAAUCUGUCCAGUUAAAUCUCCCUAUUUUGAGAUGUAUUAAGGUUCUUUAAACAAUUUAACAAAUUGUUUCAAAAAUGUCCUGUGGGCAUAAGGAAACAAAAUGUCUCCAUUAUUGGGAUCCAGAAACAGAGAUCUGGUCUGAAACAGUCCUGGCACUCUCUGCCACUCCUCCCACGGACUGGGCUUUGUGACCAGGGAAGGCAGGAAGGAUGCACGGAGGAUGUGGCAGUCUCCUGGCACUUCCACCCCCUGGAACGCUCGCUUCUGAGACCAGCUCUGAGCAAUGCAGUUUCAGAACGCUCCUGGGAAGAGGGGCCUCGUGCCAGCCCUGCUGGGCUCCUGGGGGGGAGCUUCUCACCUAGGUCUGAGCCCAGCUCAGGCUGCAGGCCGGUGACCUGAGCCCUGGUGGCUGUUUGAAGGGGGUAAAGUAGUGGAUAUCUGCUCCAUAGCUAGAUCAUAGGAACGGGUUUUUCAGUUUCCUGUUAGAGUAGGGAACUGCUCAGGAUCACAACAAUUGAGUCUCUGUCCUUGCUUUGUGUCUGCUAGAAUUGUUCUGCAAGAGGUGCGUAAACCUUCCAUGUUUAACCUGCUCUUCCCUGCACACUGGUUUAGCUUUACACAGUUUACGCUGUUAGUUGCCUUAACAUUUAUAGUUAGGCCUCCCCCCAUAAGUGGUGCCAUCCGUCAUCCACACUCAUCAUAUCUGGACUUCACUGUUGACAAUAAUGUCCUCCCUGUUUGUUUUUUUUCCUGAACUUUAUAUUUGUAUGUAGUUUCUUGGCAUAUUUUUUGCCAUCCUUUUAUUUUUCAAUAGUCAAUUAUUGGUUGGGUUUGCUUAAUUCUAUUGAACGAUUCAUCUGUUUAAAAUAAAAAUCAGGGUGGGGUGUAGCUCAGUGGUAGAGCACUUGCCUAGCAUGUGCAAGGCCCUGGAUUUGAUUCCCAGCUGCAAAACAGAAUCAAACAAACCAUGGAUACUCCUGACAUUCUCUGUCUUUUAACAGAGGAAUUCGGGACAUUUAUAUUUAGUGUACAAUUGGAUUCAUUUGAUCUGAUUCUCUUCCUUUUCACACUUGAGGUGGUACCUGUUUGGUCCUCGCGCUCUGACAUUUCUUAGUCGAUGGGUGCACUGCUGUUCCCUUGGUGUCUCAUGAGUCUGGACAUCUAACCGCACUCUGAGCUCCCCUGGUUCUCUACAGAACUGAACAAGUGCCUAUCUCAAGUCUGUUUCCCCUCCACUGACUUUCCUGAGGCUUCCUUCCAGUGGAGGAGACCUCCUGUGUGGCUUCUUUCUCCCUGCGCUUCACCUCUGUCACUCUGUGGGGAACAAAGCCAUCUCCAGCACCACUGGACAGCCAGGUAGGCCAGAGGGUCUCUGUCCUGACGUGGAGGCACAGAGCUCAGCAGAGAACGUGUUGGCAAGCAUGCGGUACAGGUGAGGUGACUCUACACUGGCAGGCAGCCUGGCUGCCCCGAGGUUUGUGUCCCCUGGAUUCCAUCAUCCUCUGCUGGUCCUGGGUCCGAGCACCCUCAGCCCCCAGCCAUGGGCUCAGGUCCCUUCCCUAGCAGUGCCUCAAAGUGGGACCAGCUUGGAACAGGGCUGCAGAUGUGCCUAGGUAAGAUGAGGUGGUGGGAACCAGAUUACUGGAACAGCGGGGGCCCCCACCCAAGAGGGCUGGUGACACCAAGGCACAAGGGCGGAGGCAAUGUACCAACCAAGGACCAAACAAGACUCGAGCAACCACCAGCAAGGGGGGGAUCUGACAGGCUCUCCCUCGUCCUACUAAGGAGCCACACUGUUAAUGCCCAGUCCUGGACUUCUGACCUGCUGGGGCAGCAAGUGGCACCAGGUUGUCACCCAGGCCAGGCCAGAGAGUGGACGAAGUCCCUGCAGAUGUCCAGAAAUGCCUCUCCCAGGAGGGGUCCCCACUGCGUUGGUGACGGCGCGCUUGCUCCUGGGGGAUGUGUGGCUUGCCACUUCCCCACACCACGGAACUCCUGCUCCGAGGAUGGACUCGGGCAGCUGGAGCAUCCAGUCCAAGGACCAGCAGUCAAAGAUGGGUGUGUGGAAGAGACACUCUGAGCAGUGGGAAAGGCAGAUGGAGCUGCCUGGAGCGCAGGCCCUGAGCCCCGAGUCACACCUGGGGCCUCUGCACACGGAGCGGCCCCCGUCAGCCCCCGACAACUUGUGGUGGGGGAGCGUGGGCCCCAGGACGGGGAGCUGGCAGGCAGCCUUGCAGUGCUCAGGACACAGCGUCCCCUUCCCGGCAGGCGAUUCCCGCCUCCAGCCGCCAAACGGACACACUUUCAGGCCACUGCUGAUGCCUCCUCACACCAUGAAGCCCACCCCCCACAGCUCCCUUAAGUGGGGCUGGAAUGGAGAGGGGGGGUCCCACCUGGAGCCCACUAAAGUGUCCUGGUUAAGAAUUUACGCAGGACUUUAAGUCCAGCAGAGCAGAGAGACUGGGGGGCAGCGCCUGGCUGGGGUGCCUUGUUCUGGAAGGGUCCCUUCAGCAGAGGCCACAGUGCUGUGCCCAGAUCCCUGUGUUUAGGGCUGCGCCGGGCGAGUCCGCAGCCCUCUCGCUGUUUACCGACGGCCGGGUGCCCUGCUCGUUCUGCAGAUCUAGAGAUUUUAAUGACAGGCGGUGAAUUUAGACAGUUUUUUUUUUCCUUUCAGGAAUGUUUUAAGGGAUUGAGAGGAAAUUGUGCACGGAUUUUGCUGUUUUAAGAGCUAAUAUGUGAACAACUUCAGAAGCACGGUGUUGUUUUAGGGCUGCAGUUUACACAGUGAGGGGGACACACACAGCAGCUUGUCCUGGGCUCUGGAGCCUGUCUCCUUGGGUUCACUCCCUGGGGAAGGGGCUGCCUUCCAGGGGAGCAGAGCUAAAAGGGAGCACCAGGUCUGAGCCCAGCUCCCACCACAUCCUGUGCAGGAUGGCUGGGGAGGGAUGUGACGCUGGGUAGCCAGCAGCAGGUGGGGGUGGCAAGGGGCUGGGAGCAGCUCUGGGGUCCCUGGGGUGGGUCCCCCUGCACAGGGCUGCCUUCUGACUCUUGGGGGCCACAUAGCCCCUAAACUGCUCAGGAAGGUCUCCCCUGGUGGUCUGUGUCUAUAUUCAGUGGGGACGUCUGCUCCUUGGGGACAAACACCUUUGAAGAGACAACCAGAGAGCCUGGCCUGCUAACGCUAGUGCAAAACUCCCCACCAGAAACUGCAGGCUUCACGAGUCCCCCCACACCCCAGGGAGAAAUGCCAAGCUCCCGCAAGACGGCGGGCGGCCGACGCCUCCCAGCUCCCUCUGAUGCACAGCCAAGGGCAGGAUGGGCAAACGGAACAGAGGCCACCCUGCGUGGCAUGGGUCACAGUCCACAAGUCUCAGCAGCAAACUGGGGAGAAAAGGAACCUAGCCUGGUCAACAGCACCUGCAGAAGCCCCACAGCGAACGUCACUCCCACGGAAAGAGCAGUGCUCUGCCCUCGCGCCAGCAGCAGGAAGGGACAUCUGCUCUCUCCUCACCCGCUGAGAGUGAAGCGGGAGGCCUCGCCAGUGCUGUCAGGGAGAAACAAGAAAUAAAAAGCAUAUGGAUUGGAAAGGAAAAAAUAAGAUUAACUUUAUUUGGGACAACAUGAUCGUCUCCAUAGAAAAUCCUAAAGAAUCUACAAAAAACAAACAAAAACAAAUGAACAGAAAUCCCUCUAGAGCUAAUUAGGUUAGCAAAGACACAGGACACAAGGUCAAUAUGAAAAAAUCAGCUGUACUUCUACAUCCCAGCAGCCAACAGUCCAAAAAUGGGAUGGAGAAAAGGCGUCACUUAAGCCGCUUCACGAGUACAAAGCACUUAGUGACAUAUCUAGCAACUUCUAUGUCCUGGGUCCCACAGGCUACAUGGCAUUCCAGGUAUAUGGUCGCAUGUUCCCAGUCAGAAAACUCGGGGAACACUGGAGCCUGUCUCCCCACCAGUGCAAGGCCGUCGGAAUCCCAGCAGGGUUUCAUUUUUUUCAUGGAAACCGACGGCUGAUUGCAAGAUUUACAUGAGCAUGUGAAGCCUGGCAGGCAUCACACUUCUGAAAUGAGCAAACUUGGAGGAUUAACAGGACCUGAUUUCAAGGCUUAGCAUAAAAGUCACAGUAAUCAGGACAGGGCUUUGCUGGCAGGACAGAUCACAAAGUCCAGAAAUCGGACCCACACACACGGCCAACUGAUUUUCAUCAAAGGUGCCAAAGUAAUUCCAUGGAAAGAAGUUGCUGGGAAGACGGGGUAACCACAUGCAGAAAGACUUGACCUCGAUCCGUGCCUGUCACCGUACAUAAGAUCAGACUUGAAAUGAAUCGCAGAUCUAAACAAGAAAUGUGAAACUGUAGGGUUUUUACAGAAAACAGGAGAGAAGGCUUUGUAACCUUGGAUUAGGCAACUAUUUCUUAGAACACAAAAAACAUGAACCUUUCAGGGGAAAAAAAAAAAGCCUUGAUGAAUUGGACAUCAUCAAAAUUAAAAACUGCUGCUCGUUUGAAAGAUCCUGUUGGGAAAAUGCAGAGAUGGAGAUUGGGAGGAAAUAUCCACAAACCGCAGAUCUACAAAGACUCGCGUCGACACUGCGGCCCCAACUCCCCCAGCUCGGAACCAGGAAGGCAGCACCCCGCGGUUGGGCUCUGAGUGCUUGGUGGACCUGUGAAUGGCACGUGUGCCAAUUAGUCCCUGGGGUGCAGAGGGAGCCCCCACACGAGGGCCGAGACUCAAGACGCAGACAACACUCAGUGCUGGGGAGAGUGUAGCCGCCUCGGCGCCCGCUCGCAGGCCGCCGGCGAGGGCACGGCGCCCACAGCCUCUGCGCAGGCAGCUUGGCAGUUCAUCGGGACGGGAAGCGGCCUGGCCACAGGAUCCAGCAGCCCCGCUCCCAGGCCCCGGCCCAAGAGGAAUGAAGACAUGAUCACUCCAAGACCUGUGCGCACAUCCUGCAGCCCUCGUCACGACAGCUGGACGGGACGGCUCAAGUGUCUGUCCGCCUGUGAACGGAUAAACAAACUGUGGUACACUUUAUCCUCUCCAAACAAAGGAAACAAACUACUGAACGCAGACCGUGACACAGAGGAGCCCCACACGAGCCGUGCCAAGGGGUGGGAGCCAGGCUCGGGGUGCACGCGGCAGAUUCCAACCUCAUGACGCCGGAGAGGCGGCGGGCCGCACCGUGUUCCCUGGUGCUAGGCGCCCCCGGGCGUCGGCAUUGUCUCUCCCUGGGACCCAGGGGGCUGACAGCUGCAGGCAUUUGCAGAACCCCUCGAACUGGACACGUAUCAAGGGGAGAAUGGUCAACAGCCCUGAGCCCCAAAUAGGAAGCAAUCAGAAAAUCAUGAAACCCACCUAAGACACACACACACACACACACACACACACACACACACACAACAAAUGUGCCCCGGUUGUUAAGUUGUUAAGAGUUGUUAAGAGUCACUAAGUCGAAGAUGUGGGUUUUGGAGAUUAAACACGACACCAAGCCCCUGUCUCCCCAGGGUCCUUCCCAGAAGCUCCUGGCCUCCCCCUGGACCGCCCUCGGGGCCACCAGGCUCAUGGCCCUGGAGCCGUCUCCCUGCCUGUUCCUAGGGACCUGUGAGGGGUGUUGCCUGUGUCCCCGGGGCCCAUCCCAGCAUGCCAACCAGGCCCUCCGUGGGGGUGGGUGGCAGCUCAGCCCUGCCACUUCCUGCUGCCCCUGGACCCCGGCUCAGCUGCUCAGGUGACUGCCCAGUCUUCCCCCUGUCCAGCCCUCCUGCCAUCCCUUUGACCCACAUGACCUGGGGAGGGACACCAGGCCAGGGGGAGGCAGGGGCCGUGGCGUGGAAGAACUGCAGCCAGGGUCCAGUGGCCUUCCCCCACCCGGCCAGGCCAGCAGGGUCCCUCCUGUGGGACUGAAGUGCCAUAGGAACAGCCUGGAGACAGUGAGGGCUCAGGGGUGACAGGGUGGAGGCUCGGCCUCACUGCCGGAGUGACGUCCGCGCCCCAGCCUGAUGUCCCUGGCCCUUGACAUGCAACGCUCGCCAACUUCGACUCCAAGUCAUCGUCGAGGACCUGGGAACAAGGCCACAGCCAGGCAGCCUGCCUGGAUGGGGGCUCCAUGGCUCCAGCUCCGGGCUGUCCUCCCAGGGCCUUUCCACCCCUCCCCGAGGUUCGCCGGCUUCCCUGCCUCCUAGCAUCGAGCCCAGGGCCCUGGCCAAGGUGUGUCCCAGGGCUCUGGGGGCACCAGUGAGCGGCAGCUUAGUCCUGCCACUUCCCUGCUGCCCUCGGCGGCUCCCCAGGUGGUCUCCCCACCUCCCAGUGCCAUUCCAUCCAACCUACAGCCACCAGGGAGGGGCACUGGUGAGCGGGGGACACAGAUGCUGGGUCCUGCUCCAUGGGGCUCCUGCUGGGGGGCAGGGGCCACAGGCAGGGCCAAAAGCCCCGACUCUACAGGGCCACCCACCCCAGGCGGCACAGGAAAGGGGUGGGCGAAGGGGCCAUACGCCAUUGCUGUUGGCUGCCCACCGGGCCUCUCUCAGGUAGGCCCUGGGUCCUGCGCCCGGGGAAGGGCCACACAGCACACAGCUGCCCGUGUUCCAUCCCAGCUACUCUGUGAGGAAGCUGCGCUGUGGGGAGCAGUUCCUGGAGACGCCCUGGACUUGGGCUGUUGCCAAGUUCUCUAUGAGCUGGACCCACCUCGCACUUAGCCUCCAUCAGGCUUCCAAGGCACCCAAGGGCAUGGGUCAAACUGAGGCCCCAAGAUGCCCCCAGCAGGCCAGAGGGGAGGCGUGGGAUUCCAGGGAAGGCCAGCCAAGGAGAGGUGCCCAGCCCAGGGCCCCUUGAGGCUGGGAAGCCCCCUUCCCAGCUUCCUGUCUCCCCAGGCUCAUGUGGCACAGCUGGACAGUGUGGCCUGCUGACAGAGGGCCACCACACUGUUGGGGACCCAGAGCUUCCAGACCAACACCGUCACCAGAAUCUGCCCCCUGGGCCUGCUUCCUCAGAGGAAGUGCCGUGGCACUGACCCGGAGCCAACCGAGAUGAAGAAACCAGGUCCUGCCCGGGCGCCCACACCUGUCACCAAACAUCCUCUAAAGUGCUGUUUUUCCAACCGGAGCAGCUCAGGGGCGGGGGCUGCGAGCGGGAGACAGGGCCCCUUUGUUCACUGCCACCGUGUCCUUGCUUUGCCCCGGGAUGGAGGCAUCCCCCUCAGCAAGUCCAUGUGAGCGUGCGCACGUGCAGCUCCUGCCCAGCACCCCACGCACAUGCCAUCACGCGUGUGUGCGCCCAGGAGCACGGUGCAGGCUGCCCGGGGCGCCGUCCCCAGUCUCCCCAGCCUCCCCACCCGACACCUCUGGACCCGCUCAGGAGACUCCCCUAGGGAUCGUGAGCUCCAGAGGCGUCUCUCAGGACACCCCGCUGCCCCUACAGGUCUAGAGAAGGGAGUGGAGUGGAGCGGCUGUGGGGAGCUUCCUCUGUCCAACGUGGAGCUCUCAGACGGCCAGGCGGGCCCAGCUAGCGGCAGCAGGCGCGUCUACCCUCCCUGGGUUGCCAUCUUGGUGCAGAUCCAUUUCUCUGUUGUGUUUUCUUGAGAAACAAAAUCUGGCAGAAUCAGCAAAAGACCUUGGCCCACCUCCCUGGAAGAGCUGGAUCUGAGGUGUGCGUCCUGCCUCCAGCUCUCCCAGGUCCAGGCUGCUGGACCUCAGAAGAGGGGUGCCGAACCCUGGUGGCGGAUGCAGGGCCCCUGCUCUGGCACCAAAACCCGAGCUGGAAAGCAGCCCAGCCCCUCUUCCUCCUGGACCCCCCCACAGCAGUAUCUGGUCCUUCACAUUCCCACUGAGACUCCAGACACCUGCAGAGGACACCCUGCACCCCGUCCUUGUCACGUUCUUAACCAGGUUUACACAGCAGCACUUACAUCAUUGUAAUAACGUGCAGAAAUAAAACGACUCCAACUGCC